UGGGGAAUAUUGGACAAUGGGCGAAAGCCUGAUCCAGCCAUGCCGCGUGGGUGAUGAAGGCCUUCGGGUUGUAAAGCCCUGUCGGGAGGGAAGAAGGUAGUUUACUACUUGACGGUACCUCGCAAGAAAGCACCGGCUAACUCCGUGCCAGCAGCCGCGGUAAUACGGAGGGUGCAAGCGUUGUUCGGAAUUACUGGGCGUAAAGCGCACGCAGGCGGCUCGUUAAGUCGGAUGUGAAAGCCCUUGGCUCAACCAAGGAAUUGCGUUCGAAACUGGCGAGCUUGAGUACGGGAGAGGGAGGUGGAAUUCCUGGUGUAGAGGUGAAAUUCGUUGAUAUCAGGAGGAACACCGGCGGCGAAGGCGGCCUCCUGGCCCGUUACUGACGCUCAUGUGCGAAAGCGUGGGGAGCAAACAGG
This 416-nucleotide ribosomal RNA is filed under the name uncultured bacterium. Its description in RNAcentral is "bacterial SSU rRNA". It matches the Rfam family "Bacterial small subunit ribosomal RNA", at positions 355 to 776 of the family's 1533-position model. The record is from RNAcentral.